This 497-nucleotide ribosomal RNA is filed under the name uncultured bacterium. RNAcentral describes it as "partial 16S ribosomal RNA". It matches the Rfam family "Bacterial small subunit ribosomal RNA", at positions 28 to 507 of the family's 1533-position model. The record is from RNAcentral.
GAUGAACGCUGGCGGCGUGCCUAACACAUGCAAGUCGAACGAACAGACGAGGAUCUUGCGCCGCUGGGGUUAGCAGCGGACGGGAGAGUACCAUGGGGAGGACAUAACUAUAAGACAGGGGUAACUACGGCAAACCGGACCUAAUAGCGAAUGAUAUAUUGCACCGCAUGGGGCACUCGUGUAAGACGGUUUUGCUGUCACUUAUAGAUUGAUCCGCGCCGCAUUAGCUAGUUGGUAAGGUAACGGCUUACCAAGGCAACGGUGCGUAGCCGACCUGAGAGCGUGAUCGGGGAGAUUGGAAGUGAGACAGGGUCCACACUCCUACGGGGAGACGCAGCAGAGACUCUUCCGAGAUGGGGGAGAGGUGGAUGGAGCAACGCGGGGGAAGUGAUGAAGGUCUUCGGACGGGAAAAUGCUGUUGUUAGGGAGGAAGAAAUGUGUUUGUAACGAGGCAGGUAUUGACGGUACCUAGUGAAAAAGCCACGGCUAACUACGUG